RNAcentral lists this ribosomal RNA (160 nucleotides) under Vibrio alginolyticus. RNAcentral describes it as "partial 23S ribosomal RNA". It matches the Rfam family "Bacterial large subunit ribosomal RNA", at positions 1 to 156 of the family's 2925-position model. The record is from RNAcentral. Lineage: Bacteria; Pseudomonadati; Pseudomonadota; Gammaproteobacteria; Vibrionales; Vibrionaceae.
GUUGUAUGGUUAAGUGACUAAGCGUACACGGUGGAUGCCUUGGCAGUCAGAGGCGAUGAAGGACGUAUUAACUUGCGAUAAGCCCAGAUUAGGUAGUAAAAACCAUUUGAGUCUGGGAUUUCCGAAUGGGGAAACCCACUUACAUAAGUAAGUAUCGUUA